This is a long non-coding RNA of Alosa alosa (allis shad), 507 nucleotides long. RefSeq lists it as uncharacterized. The transcript has 3 exons. Lineage: Eukaryota; Metazoa; Chordata; Actinopteri; Clupeiformes; Clupeidae. The record is from RefSeq and is a predicted model, not a curated record.
GAUGGCCUGAAAGGUCAAAUGGCAACACACACCUUGACUGGCAAGAUGGCGGCGAGCAGAAAACCCAAUUCUCCUCCCUCUACUUUCACACAGAGAGCUGGACCCCUACAGGCAAGACUCGUGUGGCUUCCCAAGCUCUGAUGUUCCCCCUGAAUAUUGAAUGAGCAACAUUUGAUAGUAAACUUGACUAAAAGUAGCUUUUUAAAAAAUCAUGUCUUCGGCAGAUUCCCAAACUCUGUACCCGACUGUAGCUUUGGCACAGUAGCGGGGAAGGCUAGGCGACAUUCCAGCUCAUGUUUAUGCAGAAGCGCUCCCUACAGAAAAUACAUGCACUCGCUAUGAACCCUGGGUAGGCUGUUCUGGUGAAAAUGGUUCUAGCUGGACAUCGCUGGUCAAAUAUUAAUGGCCUCACUUUCUGUGAACUGCAUUUUCCAUGAAAAACAUGAUAUAAAAUGGAUCAUAACAGUGAAACUGUCAUAAUCGUCUUCAGAUACAGCAUAAAAAGUA